Molecule: non-coding RNA, 3038 nt
Organism: Heterocephalus glaber (naked mole-rat)
Lineage: Eukaryota; Metazoa; Chordata; Mammalia; Rodentia; Bathyergidae
Source: RefSeq, a predicted model, not a curated record
GUAUCCAUUGUUCCUGUGAGGGACCUCUCUGGUGGGCUCCUGGGAAGCGGGAGGACCAAGCCAGCUCCACCUGCCCCUCAUCGUCUGGGAAGAGGAUUAAUAAUUGGUUAUGCAGAUGGGAUGCAGCCUCCAUAAAAAUCCCUGAAUUCCUGGGUUUGAGAGCUUCCGGACAGCUGAACACACAGAAGUCUCUGGAGGGGAACCCCGAGGAUGGACCCUGUCCAGGGCCCUCUCCACUGUGUCCCUUGUUGUAUCCUUUAUGACAAAUGACUGUACUAUGUAGAGUGUGCUCCUGCAUUCUGCUUUAACAGAUUAACAAUGUCGAUGAGGGACAGUAGGAACCCCUAGUCUGUAGCCUGUCAGUCAGAAGUUCCAGAGGCCUGCACUCGCAGGUGGCAUCGCAAGAGGGGACAAUAUGGCUGAGCCCUGUGACGCUGUCUCCAAGUGGACAGGGUCAGAAUCGAGUUGAGCACACACUUGGUGCUGAAGGCUGGAGGGCUGGCUGUGAAUGGGAGAAAACCUCACCCACGCUUGGAUCUGGGAAGUGUGUUGUGUGGUCUUCACAGUAAGACUAUUUUCUAGCUGGAGUUAGCUCAGCUGACCCCAUCUGCCUGGGUGACUUUCACAAACUUAUUGAGUGAAAGGUGCUAAAUACAUGACUAAAUGUAUGUGAAGUUCAAGAAUAAGCAGACUGGCAGAGCUGGAACUUUGUCAAGCAGCAAUGGAGGUCCGUUGGGCUUCGCCACAGUUCUGCAUGACCUAAAAUCCCUCCACACUUGGAUUUCAUGAUGUUUUAUGGAAUGUGCAGUGACCUUGUUUUCCACGUUUCGAACCAGAAAAUCUUUGGACUCAUGGGAACAUGGGUUUGGAGCCAGACAGACAGCCUGACAACAGGGCUGUGGAAGAACUCAAGGCCGGUGCUGGUCCAGGGAGGUAACCCCACUGCUUGGUCCUUGGCAGAAGGGCUGCAGGCAUCCCUAGGGUUAGGAAGAGCCAUGCUCCAGUCCCCAUCUGCCCAGUAUACGAUGCAGGCCUGAGAAAAAAGACGCUAAGAGACAGAACUAGAAGGGAAAGUGGGGGCCAGGAUGGCCAAUGCCGGUACAGCUGACAAAGAUGCUGGCCAGUCCCAGGCACUGAGUUUUACUGGCAAUCAGUUGAGUUAAAGGCGAGCUACAAAUAGUCUCUAUGGAAAUUAAUGUAAAAAAGGCUCAUAAAGGACAAGACAAACCAUUCUCGAAUUUAGGAACAUAAUAGACAAAAUAUAUGGUUGCAAUUAGAACAUUGUCCUUCUAGUCAGAAGGGUUUAGUUGUGGGAACGGAAUUUGGGUGUGAGUUACUCUGACCUCAGCACGUAGGCUUCAGCCAGACUCACUUCUAUAAACAAGCCAGCUGUGGGGUUAACUCUUCACAGCCUGCUUUGGGAAUAAUCAAUUUUAUGGUCCUCUGCACUCCAGGAGUGUUAGUUGUGCACAGGCUUAUCUUCUCACUGCUCUGAUAUGCACAUGAAGAUAGGUUUCAAGGCAAAAAGCUUUCCAUGAGGCUUAGCUGAAUAUUUUGAAGAGCAAAUCAAGACUCAGUCAGGUGUGUGAUGAUACAUGGAUAGGGCUACCAGCAGGGAAACUGACAGCCAGGAAGGCAGGAGCUCCCAUCAACGAAGCUCUCUAGAAUCCACAAGCUAAUGAAGUCAAGGCCAAUUGUCAGUUAGUCAGCAGGCAUAUCACCGCCAGCAUCCAGGGCAGUGGGUGCAACCACAGGUGACUGCUAAUGGGCAAAUUAGGGAACUUCACGGGCAGCAGUUCACAGAACUAGAUGGCAGGGAGACAGGGCUGCUGGAUCAAGGAGGUCCUGGGCACAGGGGUCCACAUGUGGGAUUUCUGGUGCAACUGAGAAACCCAAGGAGCCGGCUUCCUCUAGCUGCCAACUGCAGCAGCACGGUGCGUUCAUGAGCACACGGGCAUUCUUGUUUGCAGUGGCAUCACUGGUUGCUCUUGCCCUGUUUUCCUCACGCACCAGAGGAAGCACAGGGCCGAGGCUGGGCCAGAUGGUGCCACUUGUACAGGCUGGAGUUCCUCGUAGGACCACCUGCUUACCUUCAUGCUGCCCGACCCCACUGCAGCCCUGGGAACCCUCUGCUCCAUGAACUGACUUGACUCCACUCGGUAAAAAUCUACCCUCAGGAGCUGUAACAGGGUGAGGGCCUAAGGCACCUGGGCUCAACUUUUCUCCCAUGAAUUAUACUUCCUGCCACAGAAAUCUGGAAGCUGCGAUACACACAGACGUCAGCCUUCUAACUUAGCCUGGCCGGCACGGAAAUGAAGUCCUAGGUCCCCCACCUUGAGGACACCCGACUCCAUGGGAACUCCACCCCAGACCAAGAUGCAUCUCUGUCCCAAGGCUUGUCCUCCAUUCUCUGAGAGGGGACUGUUUUAAUUUUGCCUAAUAAACCUCUUCACUCCUCUUGCUGAUGAAUCUUGAAAAUACUUUUUCUGCGAUGGAAGUCAGCGAACUUUCAACCUGUUGCAUGGGUGUGAAUGCUGCUGAUCGAGGGGACCUGUCUCUGGGCCGACGAACCUGCCCUCACCAGCAUGGCGCAGUCGCAGCUGAAGAGAAGAAGUGGCGCCACGGGCAUCCACACACUCGCAGAGUGCACACCGUGGGCCAAGCCGAGAGGUGCCUCAGUGCUAACAGAAUUCUGCACAGGGUUAGAUGCGAGCCUUACCAACAGCUAGAAACCAUACACUAUGACACGGAUUACCUUUUUAGCUAUUUUAUUUUAUUAUUAUUAUUUUUUUGAGAUGGGGUCUUGCUACAUAGCCCAGGCUGGCUUUGAACUCACGGAGAUCCUCCUACCUCCCUAGUCUUGGGAUUCUAAGUGUGCAUUACACACCUGGCUCUUUUUAGUCUAUUUUAACUCUUGAUCAGUAAGCUUAUAAAACUGUGUUUCAACCAGCUUUGAACCAUCAUAUACCAUAAUUUUUUAUCUGAAUGAAAUUAUUAAGGCAGAUAUUCAUAAUAUAAUUAAACAGAAACACUAUGAA